RNAcentral lists this unclassified non-coding RNA (295 nucleotides) under uncultured fungus. RNAcentral describes it as "partial contains 5.8S ribosomal RNA, internal transcribed spacer 2, and large subunit ribosomal RNA". Lineage: Eukaryota; Fungi. The record is from RNAcentral.
AACGCACCUUGCGCUCCUUGGUAUUCCUUGGAGCAUGCCUGUUUGAGAGUCUUGAAUAUCUCUGCUCUUAUUUUUUUUAAUUAAGAAAUAACGAGUCAGGUCCUUGGGCCUGCUUGCGGUUUGGUUACAAACACAAGCUUGCCUUAAAUGAAUUAGCUGAGCUUCAGCAGAGUUGUUAAGUAACAUUGAAAACUCUCGUAAGAAGAAGCUUGCUCUCUAAUCUUUGUCGUCUUUUGUGGACGAUAAUAUUUUCUAUUUUGGCCUCAAAUCAGGUAGGACUACCCGCUGAACUUAA